RNAcentral lists this long non-coding RNA (497 nucleotides) under Medicago truncatula (barrel medic). Its description in RNAcentral is "lncRNA gene26409". Lineage: Eukaryota; Viridiplantae; Streptophyta; Magnoliopsida; Fabales; Fabaceae. The record is from RNAcentral.
AUGUGAGACAUAUAACUCACACUUGCACACAACAAUAUUUUUGGAGGUAUCUGGCAGCUUAUUGUGGCUUGGUUAGGUUUCUCAACAGCUUUGCAUGGCUCUUUUCAACAUCAUUACUAUCAGUUUGGAGGGUUGCGUGGCUCUUCGAAAAGGUCAAUUGAAUCCAUGAACAUUAUUUGGAUGUCAGUUGUCUGGGCAAUCUCGAAAGAGCGUUACAACAGUUUUUCAGAGAAAAGAAGUGCAGCUUCAAGCAAUUAGCGAAAGGGUGAAGCUUCAGUCCUUUUGGUGACUGAAAUCGAAAUAUGUUACCUUCGAUUUUGAUUAUCAAUUGUGGCGGCAGAAUCCUAUAGCUUGCUUAAUGUCCGUAUUUUAGCUUGUUUCUUCUGUUUUUGUUUCAUUGUUUUUCUUCGGUUCGACAUUGUGGUGAUUGUACAGAUUGUUGGACUCUGUUUUGUCUAGGCCCUUUUGCACCCCUUGUACGAGUGUUUCUGGCUGUG